UACGCGAGCUGGGUUUAGAACGUCGUGAGACAGUUCGGUCCCUAUCUGCCGUGGGUGUAGGAUACUUGAGAGGAGUUGCCCCUAGUACGAGAGGACCGGGGUGAACGAUCCACUGGUGGACCUGUUAUCGUGCCAACGGUAGUGCAGGGUAGCUAUGAUCGGAAAGGAUAACCGCUGAAGGCAUCUAAGCGGGAAGCCCCCCUCAAAACAAGGUAUCCCUGAGGGCCGUGGAAGACCACCACGUCAAUAGGCCGGAGAUGUAAGCGCAGCAAUGCGUUCAGUUGACCGGUACUAAUCGCCCGAUUGGCUUGAUCUGAUCCAG
Molecule: ribosomal RNA, 322 nt
Filed under: Methylophaga nitratireducenticrescens
Lineage: Bacteria; Pseudomonadati; Pseudomonadota; Gammaproteobacteria; Thiotrichales; Piscirickettsiaceae
Description: bacterial LSU rRNA
Rfam family: Bacterial large subunit ribosomal RNA
Source: RNAcentral